AUGAAGCGCGCGAGGGAGGAGGAGCCAGUUGUGUCUCUGGCGCUGUCGCUCAGCACGGACUCUCCGACGACGUCCAGCACGACGUCGGACAACUCGACCGGUGUCCCGGCGGCGGCCGCCAGGAAGAGGACGCGGCGGGGGAGAGUUGUGUCCACGUCUGGGGAAGGGGAGUUCGUCUGCAAGACUUGCGGCCGGGCCUUCGAGACGUUCCAGGCGCUGGGCGAGCACCGGACCAGCCAUCUGCGCGGCCGCCACGGGCUGGAGCUCGGUGUCGGCGUCGCCAGGGCCAUCAAGACCGGGCCGGAGCCCAGGAAGGCCACGGACCAGAAGCAGGGGCACCAGUGCCACGUCUGCGGGCAAGCGUUCGAGAUGGGCCAGGCGCUCGGCGGCCACAUGCGCCGGCACCGCGAGCAGGAGGCCGCCGCCGCCGCGGUGGCGCAGGCGCCGCCCGUUCUGCUCGAGCUGUUCGUCUAG
Molecule: ribosomal RNA, 474 nt
Filed under: Triticum aestivum (bread wheat)
Lineage: Eukaryota; Viridiplantae; Streptophyta; Magnoliopsida; Poales; Poaceae
Description: partial small subunit ribosomal RNA
Source: RNAcentral